AGCAUGAACGUUAAUGGACAUGGA
RNAcentral lists this non-coding RNA (24 nucleotides) under Arabidopsis thaliana (thale cress). Lineage: Eukaryota; Viridiplantae; Streptophyta; Magnoliopsida; Brassicales; Brassicaceae. The record is from RNAcentral.